RNAcentral lists this ribosomal RNA (442 nucleotides) under uncultured Chthonomonadia bacterium. RNAcentral describes it as "uncultured Chthonomonadetes bacterium partial 16S ribosomal RNA". It matches the Rfam family "Bacterial small subunit ribosomal RNA", at positions 338 to 794 of the family's 1533-position model. Lineage: Bacteria; Bacillati; Armatimonadota; Chthonomonadia. The record is from RNAcentral.
CCUACGGGGGGCAGCAAUUAGGAAUCUUGCGCAAUGGGCGAAAGCCUGACGCAGCGACGCCGCGUGGAGGAUGAAGUCCUUUGGGACGUAAACUUCUUUUGUGAGGGACGAAGUGCGUGACGGUACCUCACGAAUAAGCCCCGGCUAACUACGUGCCAGCAGCCGCGGUAACACGUAGGGGGCGGGCGUUGUCCGAAUUUACUGGGCGUAAAGCGCGCGUAGGCGGGCCGAUAAGUGGGAAGUGAAAGGCUUGGGCUCAACCCAAGAAGUGCUUCUCAGACUGUCGGUCUUGAGGGCGGUAGGGAGAAGUGAAAUGGCUGGUGUAGCGGUGAAAUGCGUAGAUAUCAGUCGGAACACCGGUGGCGAAGGCGGCUUCUGGGGCCGUUCCUGACGCUGAGGCGCGAAAGCCAGGGGAGCGAACGGGAUUAGAUACCCCUGUAGU